UUUUCGGUGAGCUUAUAUGAA
This 21-nucleotide non-coding RNA is filed under the name Caenorhabditis elegans. Lineage: Eukaryota; Metazoa; Nematoda; Chromadorea; Rhabditida; Rhabditidae. The record is from RNAcentral.